Molecule: long non-coding RNA, 1693 nt
Organism: Fundulus heteroclitus (mummichog)
Lineage: Eukaryota; Metazoa; Chordata; Actinopteri; Cyprinodontiformes; Fundulidae
Exons: 3
Source: RefSeq, a predicted model, not a curated record
GACACGGAGACGCAGGUGCAGAAAACGCGUCUACUCGUUUAUGGUUUUAAAAUGACGGUUGUUUAGAGGACUAGAACAGAAGUUGUUGAAUACACGUAUUUUUAGAUACAGUUGAAACAACUUGCAUAACUUGAACGCACCUUUUCAGCAGAGUCCAUGAACCUGGACGCCGUCCUAGAUGGUUCCAAUUUCCAGCCCAUUCCCGAAUCUGCAACCCCAGUGACAGACAACACACCCUGGAACGGCUGUUUGACCAGGGAAGGGACUCGUUUCACUUCCUGCGCAACCCAAAAGACGGGACGGAGGCCGGCGAUGCAGAGCCGGCUCGGACGGGGGGCAUUAGAGACGUAGAGGUAGAUGAAGAAACACGAAACAAGACACAACGGGAUGGAGCUGCAGAAAAGCAAACAAACCGGUGGAACUCGGGAGGGAAAAAAAAAAAAGAAAAAAGAAAAAUUGGAUGGUUGAAAUCUCCAGCUCGAUCUGAGGUGCAGAGAGAUGAAGGCACACGAGUCCUUUAUCCAGCUAAUAUAAGACACAACAUGUGGUUUCACAGAGGAAAUGAAAGGAUUUCUGAGCUGACGUUGUCGUGCCGGCUGAGCUGUUCUCAGGUAAACUGCGGCACAAGCAGACUGAAGUCGAGUCACAAAAUGCAAUAACGCAUAACUUAAUCACUGCAGCGAUGUUAUCAAAAGACACAACUUGGCAAUGCUGGUUCCCCUUAAAUCAAAUCAAAGUGCAGGACUCAACAACUGAAUUAACAAUUGCCAAGACACACCUCGCUUCGCAUGAAAUGUUCUUUUUCUUUUAUUUGUUUUUUUUUUGCUUGUUUUUUAGUUUCAUCAAUGCAGAGACGUCAUUCACUGUGCUGUAACUGUACUCCCCUGGAGAUUGCCCGUCAUUUUUCUUAACGUUCGUGGCCAGUGGUUUAUAUGCUAUAACAACAAGAACACUAGAGAUGGUCUGGCAACCUGGAUUAGCUGAUUUUCAGUUUUCUAGGCCAUGACAGGUGUCCGGUUGGUCGGAAACUUUCAAAUCUGAAUCUGUUUUUUUGCCAAUCAGUGAACAAAACACACCUAAGCACCAACAGGUGGCACUAAAAACAACAAUCUUCGGUGUGGAAGUCUUGACCGAAGGAAAAAGAGGAAAAUUUGGUAAUUCUUCUUUAUCAGUGAUGUUUAUUAUUAAAAUAGAAAUAAAGGAGUUGUACGUCAACCAAAGAACAGUGGAAGAAGCUAUUUAAAAUGAAUAAAGUGCCAUGUGAGCUAUUAAUUCAGGUUGCAGCGUUUCUUUUAAACACACAGUAAAGCUACACCAGAAAGGCUUAAAGAGUACAAAAGAGUUUCUCUGAUUUAUCUUUGUGAGUUUUUAACUUGUUUGUCAUUUGGAAAUGACAGUAGCCUCUUAGAAAUCCUGCACUCAUGGUCAGAUCUACAAUCUCUUGGGAAUGCGCUCAGAAAUGGUGCUAGUAAUGCUAAUGAUACUAAUCAUACAGACAUCAUAUGAUUAUAAAGAUAGGUUGAAAUAUCAGCUCUGUAAUAACUCUGUUGCUAUUUUAGAAUGAUGAUGAUGAUGAUAUUAAAAACAUCCAAAAUAAAUGGAAAUUACCACAACCAGUUCAUAGAUUCUUAAAAUAAAAUCAUUCAUAUUAUUUUCUUCAGGCUAUUUUUCCAGGUGCACUGUGAUUGGGUGA